CCUACGGGUGGCUGCAGUAGGGAAUAUUGCUCAAUGGGGAAACCCUGAAGCAGCAACGCCGCGUGGAGGAUGAAGGGUUUCGGAUUGGAAACUUCUUUUGGUAGAGAAGAUAAUGACGGUAUCUAACGAAUAAGCACCGGCGAAAUCCGUGCCAGCAGCCGCGGUAAUACGGGGGGUGCAAGCGUUACCCGGGAUCACUGGGCGUAAAGAGCGCGUAGGCGGGAUAGCAAGUCAGAUGUGAAAUCCUAUGGCUUAACCAUAGAACUGCAUUUGAAAAUGUUAUUCUAGAGUAUGGGAGAGGUAGGUGGAAUUCUUGGUGUAGGGGUAAAAUCCGUAGAGAUCAAGAGGAAUACUCAUUGCGAAGGCGACCUGCUAGAACAUAACUGACGCUGAUGCGCGAAAGCGUGGGGAGCAAACAGGAUUAGAUACCCUUGUAGUC
RNAcentral lists this ribosomal RNA (439 nucleotides) under uncultured bacterium. RNAcentral's name for it is "partial 16S ribosomal RNA". It matches the Rfam family "Bacterial small subunit ribosomal RNA", at positions 338 to 795 of the family's 1533-position model. The record is from RNAcentral.